Molecule: ribosomal RNA, 525 nt
Filed under: uncultured bacterium
Lineage: Bacteria
Description: bacterial SSU rRNA
Rfam family: Bacterial small subunit ribosomal RNA
Source: RNAcentral
UAACGUAGCGAAAGCUACGCUAAUACCGCAUACGCCCUGAGGGGGAAAGCGGGGGAUUCUUCGGAACCUCGCGCGAUUGGAGCGGCCGAUGUCGGAUUAGCUAGUAGGUGAGGUAAAGGCUCACCUAGGCGACGAUCCGUAGCGGGUCUGAGAGGAUGAUCCGCCACACUGGGACUGAGACACGGCCCAGACUCCUACGGGAGGCAGCAGUGGGGAAUUUUGGACAAUGGGCGCAAGCCUGAUCCAGCCAUGCCGCGUGAGUGAAGAAGGCCUUCGGGUUGUAAAGCUCUUUCGGCCGGGAAGAAAUCGUGGUCUCUAACAUAGGCCAUGGAUGACGGUACCGGACUAAGAAGCACCGGCUAACUACGUGCCAGCAGCCGCGGUAAUACGUAGGGUGCGAGCGUUAAUCGGAAUUACUGGGCGUAAAGCGUGCGCAGGCGGUUUUGUAAGACAGAUGUGAAAUCCCCCGGGCUUAACCUGGGAACUGCGUUUGUGACUGCAAGGCUAGAGUACGGCAGAGGGGGG